CGUGUAGGCGGCUUUGCAAGUCGGGUGUGAAAGCCCUCAGCUCAACUGAGGAAGUGCGCCCGAAACUGCAGAGCUUGAGUGCCGGAGAGGGUGGCGGAAUUCCCCAAGUAGAGGUGAAAUUCGUAGAUAUGGGGAGGAACACCGGUGGCGAAGGCGGCCACCUGGACGGUCACUGACGCUGAGACGCGAAAGCGUGGGUAGCAAACA
This 207-nucleotide ribosomal RNA is filed under the name uncultured delta proteobacterium. RNAcentral describes it as "partial 16S ribosomal RNA". It matches the Rfam family "Bacterial small subunit ribosomal RNA", at positions 568 to 774 of the family's 1533-position model. The record is from RNAcentral. Lineage: Bacteria; Deltaproteobacteria.